UUCUUUUUAAAAUUAAAAUUUAUCUAGGGCACAAAUCUACUUACAGACUUAUGUUCUCUUUCUAUCAAACUCACCCACUUUCUCUCAUCUUCAAUAAUGUAAGAUUCUUGCUUCAAAUACAACAAAUUGAUUAUGAAUCUACGGCUCAAAUACAAUGGGAACAUAGAUAUCCAAUGGAGAAUAGAAGAAAUUUAGAAAUUGGGCAAAAAUUUUUGCUGUAUAACUUUUGUGUUUGUUGACCCUCGUUCAUUCCCGGGCAUGUUUGCUGCUCCGCAAGAUUUUCAGAUGAAACCCUUAUUUUUACAAUUUUUGCACUUUGUCUACAUCAUUAUUCUUAUCUUUGUCCAGGUAAAUUUUCUGUUAUUUUGUUUUUGUUUUUCUUUCUUUCCAUUUAAUUAUGUUGAGGAAUUUUGAUAUGGUAAUUCUUAUUUGACCGAUACCUUGAUUUUCAUACUUUUGGGUCAAUAAUAAAUUCAUAUGACUUUAGGGUUUAGAUUUCACUAUUUUUUAUUAGAGAUUUACCCUAAUAAUAAAUUGAUAUGAUAUGAUAUGUUCAAGAGUCAACAUGGUUGUUGUUGGAGCCCACGCUGUCAUGGCCAAUGGUGGGGUUAUUGCACCUAUUGGAAUGAACAUGGUGGCUCUAGCAGCUCAAAGGCGUGCUGUUCCUUUUGUUGUUCUUGCAGGCACUCACAAGGUAUUUUAGCUUCACUAAGGCACUGGUCUGAAGGGUCAGACCAAUACCUUAGUGAUAGGCCUUUGCAAAAGCAUGGAGGAGGACUUGAGCACAACGAAACAUAUUAUGGUUCCUGUUACGGUGCUGAAGGGUCAGAUGAUGAAGCCUAUCGAAAGAAAGGUUGGGCAUUGUCAAACCUAGAUAUUUUUGACCAGGUAUGUUUCUAUAUUGGCAGGUAUAUUGUCAGUUGAUCAUCGAAGGAGUUACAUGUCUUGUGUGGGUGUCUUUUCUCUCCAAAUUAUUCCCUGAAUUUGAAGCCAUUUUUCCUCUGUAAAAGCUUGACUACCGUGGCUUCUUUCUUUUGUGAAAAUAGAAGAUCUAAGAAGUUAACAGUAUGGCUUGCUAUGUUAAAGCCUUAAAGUAUCUUAACUCUACCUCCUAAGUGUUUGAUGAGUCUUGAAUAAAGAUCUGGUUUUCAUUUUGAAUCUUGUAUCGAAGUUAUGCAGCAUAACAUGGAUGUGAUAGAAGUGCUGUGAGCAAUAAGGUCUCACAAUCACAACAAACAAAUGUGGACAUGAUCAUUUGUGUAUUUGUAUGUUAAAGGAAAUGAGCGUGAUUAAUCCAACUUUUUGCAGGCACUCACAAGGUUUUUUGGUACUGUCUCUUCGUGUCUAUAUUUUUAUUAAUGUAGUGUUUAUGCUUUCCUGAGCCGAUGGUCUAUUGGAAACAACCUCUCUAUCAUCAAAAGGUAUCAUCACAAGGUAGGGGUAAGGUCUGUGACUUUGUGUACACACUAUCCUCCCAAAGCUCACGGUGUGGGAUAAGACUGUGUAUGUUGUUGUUGUUGUUGUUGUUGUUGUAAGGCACUGGUCUCUACCUUCAGGAAAUAAAUAUAUUUUACUCAUCCUAGUUUUAUUUAAGAAAUAAAGAGCUAAUUCCAUAUAACAACAACAAUUACACCUCAGUCCCAAAAACAAGUUAGGGUCGGCUAUAUGGAUCCUCCCUUCAUUCUUCUGUGUAGAUUGUGUAAAUAUUGCAAUCUUCCGUGUAUUCCUUGUAGCAUAGAAUGUAUUUUUGAUGUUGCAGUAUUAGGCCUCUGGUUUUGCCUUUGAAUUUUGAUGGAUAAGAAGUACGUAUUUGAUUUAAAUAGAACCUUACUUGGAAAUAAGCAUGAGAAGUACCUUCACUGGUCAAAGGCAUCAUCGGGAACAUGAAAUGCUAUAAUUAUUAAUUAGAUUAAGGCAGAACGGAAAUUAGUUGUCUUGCUUUGAUUUUGUAUCAAUAAAAGGUCAAGAGCAUUUCUUAGAAAAACUUUGAAGAGAUCAUUUCGGCAGUUGGAGUGUCCUAAGAAAGGGUUAAUAUUCACUAUUUAAUAGUGUUGCCUAUGCAAAAGGAUGCGAAUGAGCAGAUCAGUAAAUGCAAUUUUGUUGGAAAAUUUUACUAAAUAUAGAUAAACACUAUGCUAAAAAGAAUAGAUAAAUCAGAAAUGACACUGCUUGACAAAGAGCGCUUCACGGACUUGCUUAUAGAGGUUGGAGGUUGAACCUCAGCUUCGACUUUCUUUUUGGCAAAUAUUGUGUGAGCCUCUAUUGUAAAAAAAAUUGUGGUUAAAAAGAAUUGAACCCUAGACCUUUUCUAGCUUAAGACUCCAUUAAACCAAUGUGCCAACACUCUUUCUUGUCUACAAAAGUGAUAAUAAUUACUCAAAAGUUAAGAAAGAAAGAAAGAUUUUGGAACUUGUGGUAUAAAACAACCCAUAUAUAUAUUUGUGUGGCUAUAAAUCAUCUCAUUAAGGAUAAAAUGGAAAGUUUAUAUUUAAAUUAUUUCUUAAGAUAGAAAGAUAUAAUUCUUUUUGGAAUAGAUUAAAAAAGAAAGUGCAUCACAUAAACUGGAACGACGAAGUAUAUAUUUUCUUUGCUUAUUUUCUAAGAAGAUGUGGCAUGGCUUAUUUAAGAGUUUGAAAGACCAUAGGACACUGCAAUCUUGUUACACUCCUUGUAAACUUACAAUCUGUGUUAGAUUUUUCUGAGACAGUGGGAAGGAAUAGGUUCUGGUAAGGUCAUAUCAAGUGGUAACAGGAUUUCUUGCUACUGAUGGAUCGUGUUUGACAAGUUAUAAUGCUGAUUUAGAAAGUUAAGAAGCACUGUAACAUAAGGCACCUUAUUGCUCUUGGAUCCAACUGAGCCAAUAAGAACCUUAGGCUUCUCUCCCUACUAUCUUUGUCAUUUUGCUGUUAUUAUCAUCAGCUAGUAGAACGAAAUAAGUUCUUAUGUUUUUUAAGUUGUCUUGCUCUAAAUACUUUGCAUACAUUGUAGUUAAUUUUGGAGGUGGGAGUUGAGAUUGGGAGCUUCAAAACCAGUUUGGAGACUUCUCUGCGAUCAAAAGCUAGCUAUGUCACUAAUAAGGUUUGGACUGUCUUUAAUUUACAUGGAAGUUCAAGAAAUAAAUUAAAAUAUUCUUUCCAGGUGCUUCCUUAAAAUAACAAGAUUUUGAAGGUGGGAACUUGUUUAGUUUUUAGUUUCUCUGUUCUACUUAAGUUGCUUCAUUUUUUCCAUGUUAUUUUUAAAUAUCAUUUUAUACGUCUUUUUGCCAAUCUUUUUAAUUGAAUAUAUUUAGUAUAGGCUAUUAAAAAGGGUCGAGAUCCAACACCAAGUGAGAUACAUUUGCACAUCCAUACACAUGGUAAUGAUGAAAAUCAUUUGAUGGUGAGAAAUCCCGAAUCGUACAUCUAAGUCAACUUUUUAAAUAAUUUUAUUGAUUUUACUUUCAUAUCUUUUUUUCAUUUUGUAAAUUGAAUACUCAAUAUUCUUUAAUGUUUCAAUUUCACUAAUUAUUAACUCUUCUACCUGAAAAAUAUGAGGAGAUAUUAAAGCAACAAAUACAUAGUCAAUCUGAUAUUGAUCAGUGUAAAACAUAUUACGAAGUUGCAGGAGAAGAUAAGAAAAGAAGAGUAUAUGGUCUUGGAUCUCAAGAAAAAUACUACUAUGGGCCGAAUCUUUAUGACUCUUUUGGAUCUGAUGCAACAUCCUCAGCAACACCUUUAAAUGCUCAAUCAGCACCGAUAGGGAAUAUGAAUGAGUUAAUGACACGAUUGAUUCCUGUACUGACUGAUCAUAUAAUUCCUGUAAUCGUUGAGUGGGUAUGCGAAUUAGUUUCUUUAUCCUCGCAACAGCCCAAUAUUGAUCCUACCAAUCACCCAUCUGACGUGGCACCUAUAGUUCCUACCUCUUAUGUUGCUGCUAAUAUUGAUGAGGUUCAUGUAAUGGGUUCUGACGAUGACCAUGACUCUCCAGCCUUGCAUAGUUAGCCUAUUUUCUUUAAACUUUAUUGUAGGUGCUUGUGGAUAUUUUGUACUUAACGAUACAAUUAUAUGUAUUAUGCUAUAUAUUUUGGACCUUAUUGAAUGUUAAUUUAUAUUAAUAUCAGUCACUUUUAAUUAAGUGUAUUUAAUA
RNAcentral lists this long non-coding RNA (4125 nucleotides) under Nicotiana tabacum (common tobacco). RNAcentral describes it as "long non-coding RNA (NTAB_LNC007330)". Lineage: Eukaryota; Viridiplantae; Streptophyta; Magnoliopsida; Solanales; Solanaceae. The record is from RNAcentral.